UACAUGCAAGUCGAGCGGUCCUUCGGGACAGCGGCGAACGGGUUAGUAACGCGUGGGAACGUGCCCUUUAGUACGGAAUAGCCAUUGGAAACGAUGAUUAAUACCGUAUACGCCCCAAGGGGGAAAGAUUUAUCGCUAAAGGAUCGGCCCGCGUUAGAUUAGGUAGUUGGUAGGGUAAUGGCCUACCAAGCCGACGAUCUAUAGCUGGUUUGAGAGGAUGAUCAGCAACACUGGGACUGAGACACGGCCCAGACUUCUACGGAAGGCAGCAGUAGGGAAUCUUGGACAAUGGGCGAAAGCCUGAUCCAGCCAUGCCGCGUGAGUGAUGAAGGCCCUAGGGUUGUAAAGCUCUUUCGCCAGGGAAGAUAAUGACGGUACCUGGUAAAGAAACCCCGGCUAACUCCGUGCCAGCAGCCGCGGUAAUACGGAGGGGGUUAGCGUUGUUCGGAAUUACUGGGCGUAAAGCGCACGUAGGCGGAUUAAUAAGUCAGGGGUGAAAUCCCGAGGCUCAACCUCGGAACUGCCUUUGAUACUGUUAAUCUUGAGUUCGAGAGAGGUGAGUGGAAUUCCGAGUGUAGAGGUGAAAUUCGUAGAUAUUCGGAGGAACACCAGUGGCGAAGGCGGCUCACUGGCUCGAUACUGACGCUGAGGUGCGAAAGCGUGGGGGAGCAAACAGGAUUAGAUACCCUGGUAGUCCACGCCGUAAACGAUGAGAGCUAGUCGUUGGGGAGUUCGCUCUUCGGUGACGCAGCUAACGCAUUAAGCUCUCCGCCUGGGGAGUACGGUCGCAAGAUUAAAACUCAAAGGAAUUGACGGGGGCCCGCACAAGCGGUGGAGCAUGUGGUUUAUUCGAAGCAACGCGCAGAACCUUACCAUCCCUUGACUUCCCUGUCGCGAGCUCAGAGAUGAGCCUUUCAGUUCGGCUGACAGGUGACAGGUGCUGCAUGCUGUCGUCAGCUCGUGUCGUGAGAUGUCGUUAGUCCGCACGAGCGCAUCCCUGUCUUAGUGCAUCAUUUAGUGGACUCUAAAGAGACUGCUGUGAUAGCGAGUAGGUGGACGACGUCAAGUCUCAUGCUACGAUGGCUACAUCGUGCUACAUGCAUGGACUAUGUAACCAAAACCUGUCUCAGUCCGAAUGAGCUGGCAUCGAUCAUGA
This 1156-nucleotide ribosomal RNA is filed under the name uncultured Alphaproteobacteria bacterium. RNAcentral describes it as "bacterial SSU rRNA". It matches the Rfam family "Bacterial small subunit ribosomal RNA", at positions 52 to 1323 of the family's 1533-position model. The record is from RNAcentral. Lineage: Bacteria; Pseudomonadati; Pseudomonadota; Alphaproteobacteria.